UACGUAGGGUGCAAGCGUUAAUCGGAAUUACUGGGCGUAAAGCGUGCGCAGGCGGUUCGCUAAGACAGAUGUGAAAUCCCCGGGCUUAACCUGGGAACUGCAUUUGUGACUGGCAAGCUAGAGUAUGGCAGAGGGGGGUAGAAUUCCACGUGUGAGCAGUGAAAUGCGUAGAGAUGUGGAGGAAUACCGAUGGCGAAGGCAGCCCCCUGGGCCGAACCUGACGCUGAGGCGCGAAGGCUAGGGGAGCGAACGGG
RNAcentral lists this ribosomal RNA (254 nucleotides) under uncultured bacterium. RNAcentral describes it as "partial 16S ribosomal RNA". It matches the Rfam family "Bacterial small subunit ribosomal RNA", at positions 524 to 776 of the family's 1533-position model. The record is from RNAcentral.